Molecule: ribosomal RNA, 434 nt
Filed under: uncultured bacterium
Lineage: Bacteria
Description: partial 16S ribosomal RNA
Rfam family: Bacterial small subunit ribosomal RNA
Source: RNAcentral
AGCGAACGCUGGCGGCAGGCCUAACACAUGCAAGUCGAACGAACCUUUCGGGGUUAGUGGCGGACGGGUGAGUAACACGUGGGAACGUGCCUUUAGGUUCGGAAUAACUCAGGGAAACUUGUGCUAAUACCGAAUGUGCCCUUCGGGGGAAAGAUUAAUCGCCUUUAGAGCGGCCCGCGUCUGAUUAGCUAGUUGGUUGAGGUAAUGGCUCACCAAGGCGACGAUCAGUAGCUGGUCUGAGAGGAUGAUCAGCCACAUUGGGACUGAGACACGGCCCAAACUCCUGCGGGAGGCAGCAGUGGGGAAUCUUGCGCAAUGGGCGAAAGCCUGACGCAGCCAUGCCGCGUGAAUGAUGAAGGUCUUAGGAUUGUAAAAUUCUUUAACCGGGGACGAUAAUGACGGUACCCGGAGAAGAAGCCCCGGCUAACUUCGUG